RNAcentral lists this ribosomal RNA (308 nucleotides) under uncultured Helotiaceae. Its description in RNAcentral is "partial large subunit ribosomal RNA". It matches the Rfam family "Eukaryotic large subunit ribosomal RNA", at positions 40 to 350 of the family's 3401-position model. The record is from RNAcentral. Lineage: Eukaryota; Fungi; Ascomycota; Leotiomycetes; Helotiales; Helotiaceae.
GUAUCAAUAAGCGGAGGAAAAGAAACUAACAAGGAUUCCCCUAGUAACGGCGAGUGAAGCGGUAACAGCUCAAAUUUGAAAUCUGGCUCACGCCCGAGUUGUAAUUUGUAGAAGAUGCUUUGGGUGUAGCUCCGGUCUAAGUUCCUUGGAACAGGACGUCAUAGAGGGUGAGAAUCCCGUAUGUGAUUAGUGCCUGCUCCCGUGUAAAGCUCUUUCGACGAGUCGAGUUGUUUGGGAAUGCAGCUCAAAAUGGGUGGUAUAUUUCAUCUAAAGCUAAAUAUUGGCCAGAGACCGAUAGCGCACAAGUA